CGUCAAAGCUUCCAUGCUACAAUAUCUAAUUCCCACAACCACAUAAACCCCUUUAUUACCACUAGACAAUUCUAUAUAACUAUAGAAAUUAUUUUGUUAAAACUAGUAACAAGAAAUAAACCUUCUCUUUAAUAUAAGUAUAUGCCAGAAAGGAUAAACCACUGGCCAUUAACAUACUUGAAAAUUAAGCAGCAACACCACAAGAGAACCCUGCCUAUAUGUAUGUUAAUUUUACACUAAAACAUUUCAAGAAAGAUUAAAAGAAAAAGAAGGAACUCGGCAAACAUAAAUCUCGCCUGUUUACCAAAAACAUCGCCUCUUGAAACCUAUAUAAGAGGUCACGCCUGCCCGGUGACUCAUGUUUAACGGCCGCGGUAUCCUAACCGUGCGAAGGUAGCGUAAUCACUUGUUCUUUAAAUAAGGACUAGUAUGAAUGGCCACACGAAGAUUUUACUGUCUCCUUUUUCUAAUCAGUGAAACUAAUCUCCCCGUGAAGAAGCGGGGAUAAAAAUAUAAGACGAGAAGACCCUAUGGAGCUUUAAACACAGCAGCACUUGUUAACCUUCAAACUUUCAAAUAAAACUUAUACAUCAUGACUGCAAGUUUUAGGUUGGGGUGACCACGGAGCAAAAAAUAACCUCCAUGUAGAACAGAUUUUUCCAUGAGCAAAAAACCUCAACUUUAUGCACCAACAAAUUGACUUCUAUUGACCCAAUAUUUUGAUCAACGAACCAAGUUACCCUAGGGAUAACAGCGCAAUCCACUUUAAGAGCCCCUAUCGACAAGUGGGCUUACGACCUCGAUGUUGGAUCAGGGUACCCUAGCGGUGUAGCCGCUGCUAAUGGUUCGUUUGUUCAACGAU
This 862-nucleotide ribosomal RNA is filed under the name Hyloscirtus phyllognathus (Roque treefrog). Its description in RNAcentral is "partial 16S ribosomal RNA". It matches the Rfam family "Bacterial large subunit ribosomal RNA", at positions 1510 to 2588 of the family's 2925-position model. The record is from RNAcentral. Lineage: Eukaryota; Metazoa; Chordata; Amphibia; Anura; Hylidae.